CAAAGCUGAGGCAGGAUCCCAGGCUCAUUAGCAAUGUAAAUAGACCUAGCCGCUGUGCUUCAGCCAGCUGGGCAGCAGCACUCAGCUGCUCUUUGGUUAUCACAGGAAUUGUCAUAAAUGAGCAUGAAAUCCUGAGACUGAGGCUACUGUAUUACAAGGCCUUUCUUGAGAGGGCACAAGUGAAAGGAUUUAUUGAGGGACUUUCACAUUCAAAAAGAUUAACUUGAACUUUCAUCAGUUUGGAGGAAUGGGGAACCUGGUGUGAUUGCUAGUUACGACAUACUCCUGUGCUGUGAUAGCAGGAAGCCCCAGGCUAAGCAUUGCUAACAGCAAGAACACUUUUAAGGCUGCUCCAGGAGUAGACAAGUACCACGCAUGGCAUGUGUAUAUGUUAUCCCCUCCUCAGACUUUCUGUUGCUCAUUCUCCUUCUUGUGGAGGAGAGUUGCACUCCUGGCAGCCUUCCUCUGCAAUCUAAAACACUGUCUUUGAGCUCCUCUUGUCCUGAGACAACAGGGAGCCCUGUCAGCACUAGAGGAAUCAAGCAUUUCUGGAGAAAGUAAGAAAACCCCUGACAAUAAAAAGAAGAUCUAGCAGGAGAAAUAAAUUGAGAUAGUGGUGGAAAGAGGAGGAGGACCAUGAAGAGAAAAUAUAAAGGCAGAAGAAGAGAGAGGAUCAAAAGGGAGGGGAGAUGAAAAGCAAGAGCAGAACUGUAGGGGAGAGAACAAGGAAAGCACUGCAGCAGCAACAGAGCUUAGAGAAUACAAGAAAAAAAAAAAAAAAAUCCACAAAAAAACACAGUGUUGGUAUGUUCAAAAUUGACUUUUCCUUAGCUGUGUGGAGCAUCAGUAUGUCUAAUUUAGUUUUCAUGUGUACAUAGUGGGAAAGCAACAAUCUAACAAUCUCGGCUAUUAUUUUAAUGCAAAAUGCCAAGAUCGACAGUGAGACUUUGCCCUACGCAACGGUAGAUGUCUUGUCUCCUUUGGGGACAAAAGACUACACUUUCCUUUGUCAGGUCUAAACUUACAUCCUGAAGCUACUCUAUGCCUUGCAGAAAAAAUAUGGAACCAGAUGUAUAAGCUGUGUCACACACGACCUGCAGUCAAUUCCUGCCUGCUCACAUUUGCCCAAGAAAAAGAUAAAUAUUCCUUUGAAAGCAACAGAGAGAUUGGGUAUCUGCCUUUUUGUAUUACCUUUAAGAGUAAGAAGAUAAGUGGUGCUUUAUUUUUUAUCUUUUAAAGUGCCAUUUAACUUUCCCAAGCAGCUGAUUACAUAUUAGGAAUGCAAGGAUAGGAGGGUGCUUUUUGUCUUAUCUCUGUGAUUUAUUGUUGAACUCUCAAAUCAUUGGAUUCAGCCACCUGAAACUCUUACCUUAACAGAACUGAAAUGUGCUUAUGAUUUUGAUUUAUUCUAAAAAUAUGUAUUUUUUAUUAUGGAGUACAAAUUUAGUAUAAUGGCUUUCAGAUCCCUAAGGAGAAGUUUUUCCAGCCUGAUUCACGUAUUAAUAUUGUUAGAGAAUAUAUUUUCCCUUAUGGUUUUAAAGCCCAGGUUCUCAAAACCUGAGCUUAAGAAAAUCCAUCUGGAACUUGAGAGUUACUCUAUAAGGAAGUCAUAUUUGUAAGGUGCUGAGACAGAUGCCUGCAGACCACACAGUCUGUAUCCAAUGGAAAACAGCACCUUCAUAUUAGCAAUACUGAAACAAAGUACAUCUAAUAUGUAGUUUUAUAAAUGUUUCAUUUCUCCUUUUUUUUUUGAGCAACAUUUGUUUUAUGUCUGCUUCCCUAAGGUAAUGGGUACGGCACUGUGUGAUUCAUCACAAUAUGACAUGACAAGAAAAAUACCUCAAAGAUACAAUAUGGUUAUCGGAAAAAUAUGGUCCUUUUUGAUAUUAAAAACAUAUAAGGACGUAGUCUAGAGAUGUAAAUGCACGUUACUCCCAUUGGGACUAAAUGUCAUUUCUGUUUGGAUAACAAGUGAAGAGUGUAAAUGCUUUAAAUUGUCAGUGAAAACACAUGACAUGAUUUAUCAUGGUCUGCUGACUUAAAUCACCUCCUUUGGUCUGUGAGUAGUGUUUAACCACUAGCAUGAACAAAUACAGGGCUGAACGCUGCUGUCUGCACUCUGGAGGGGAGAAGAACUCUGCUGAGGUUUGGAGACACUGCUGUACCCCAGCUCAGGCUCCUGCUUCAGCUCAUAGGGAAUUCCCUGCAGCUUGUAUGUGGCUGGGCCACUGCUAUUUCCUACGUGAAAGUAUUGCUUCACUCUCUGGGAGCUGCUCUGCUGCUAACAGAGCUCCUCCUCCAUCUAAUCAGAAGUCACCUUGUUCUCGCUAGCAAUGUUCCCUGCUAUUUUGGGGAACAUCACAGUAGGUGUUUCCCUGUCGUGGGGCUGGACACUGCAUGUUCCUGCUCCUCAACAAGAUGGCGAGAGAAAAAGGGGAAAAGGUUCAUAGGUUGAGAUAAAGACAGGGAGGUUGGUUACUG
This is a long non-coding RNA of Oxyura jamaicensis (ruddy duck), 2481 nucleotides long. RefSeq lists it as uncharacterized. The transcript has 3 exons. The record is from RefSeq and is a predicted model, not a curated record. Lineage: Eukaryota; Metazoa; Chordata; Aves; Anseriformes; Anatidae.